GACGAACGCUGGCGGCGUGCUUAACACAUGCAAGUCGAACGGAAAGGCCCCUUUGGGGGUACUCGAGUGGCGAACGGGUGAGUAACACGUGAGUAACCUGCCCUUGACUUCGGGAUAACUUCAGGAAACUGGGGCUAAUACCGGAUAGGAAUCCUUGCUGCAUGGUGGGGGUUGGAAAGCUUCGGCGGGUUUGGAUGGACUCGCGGCUUAUCAGCUUGUUGGUGGGGUAGUGGCUUACCAAGGCUUUGACGGGUAGCCGGCCUGAGAGGGCGACCGGCCACAUUGGGACUGAGAUACGGCCCGGACUCCUACGGGAGGCAGCAGUGGGGAAUAUUGCACAAUGGGCGGAAGCCUGAUGCAGCAACGCCGCGGGCGGGAUGACGGCCUUCGGGUUGUAAACCGCUUUCAGCAGGGGCGAAGCUUGUGGUGACGGUACCUGCAGAAGAAGCACCGGCUAACUACGUG
RNAcentral lists this ribosomal RNA (465 nucleotides) under uncultured bacterium. Its description in RNAcentral is "partial 16S ribosomal RNA". It matches the Rfam family "Bacterial small subunit ribosomal RNA", at positions 28 to 507 of the family's 1533-position model. The record is from RNAcentral.